GGGUCUUCUUUCGAUGACCGACACCUGAUUCAAGCAUUCAUCUGGAGCUGAUG
RNAcentral lists this small nucleolar RNA (53 nucleotides) under Euglena gracilis. RNAcentral's name for it is "partial Eg-m5.1 box C/D methylation-guide snoRNA". Lineage: Eukaryota; Euglenozoa; Euglenophyceae; Euglenales; Euglenaceae. The record is from RNAcentral.